GCGCCGGUAGUGCAUUUGGCAGCACGCCCCGCCCCCGGUGGGGAGGAGCUCGUUCGAGUCGGGCCCGGCGCUC
RNAcentral lists this transfer RNA (73 nucleotides) under Streptomyces aurantiogriseus. RNAcentral's name for it is "tRNA-Gly(ccc)". The record is from RNAcentral. Lineage: Bacteria; Bacillati; Actinomycetota; Actinomycetes; Kitasatosporales; Streptomycetaceae.